Molecule: transfer RNA, 75 nt
Filed under: Syntrophomonas sp.
Lineage: Bacteria; Bacillati; Bacillota; Clostridia; Eubacteriales; Syntrophomonadaceae
Also listed under: 1 other name
Description: tRNA-Glu
Rfam family: tRNA
About the family: Transfer RNA (tRNA) molecules are approximately 80 nucleotides in length. Their secondary structure includes four short double-helical elements and three loops (D, anti-codon, and T loops).
Source: RNAcentral
GGCCCCUUGGUCAAGCGGUUAAGACACCGCCCUUUCACGGCGGUAACGGGGGUUCGAGUCCCCCAGGGGUCACCA